ACAGAUCGACUCAAAGUUAGGAAGCAGCUUCUCGACUGUAGCAUUUGUAAUUGUUGUGGCUACUUGCACCAUACUAGCAAUGAUUGCGACUGUACCACUUGCUCAACUUCUAUGCUUCCAUAUUCUUCUAAUCAAGAAGUUUGAUGUCAUCCCUCCGGAGAUUGGCAUGUCCCAAAACCCAGGAAGUAAGAAGAUGAAGGUAGCAGAUGGAGCAAGAAGACGAAACGGA
Lolium rigidum is the source of this 229-nucleotide long non-coding RNA. RefSeq lists it as uncharacterized. NCBI's taxonomy places the organism in Eukaryota, Viridiplantae, Streptophyta, Magnoliopsida, Poales, Poaceae. The record is from RefSeq and is a predicted model, not a curated record. The transcript has 3 exons.